UUAAGACUUGCAGUGAUGUUUAGUUAAAAUCUUUUCAUGAACAUCACUUUAAGUCUGUACU
This 61-nucleotide microRNA precursor is filed under the name Xenopus laevis (African clawed frog). Its description in RNAcentral is "microRNA xla-mir-499 precursor". Its record names the gene xla-mir-499. It matches the Rfam family "mir-499 microRNA precursor family", at positions 14 to 80 of the family's 80-position model. The record is from miRBase by way of RNAcentral. RNAcentral also lists the same sequence under 1 other name. Lineage: Eukaryota; Metazoa; Chordata; Amphibia; Anura; Pipidae.